RNAcentral lists this ribosomal RNA (354 nucleotides) under uncultured Selenomonas sp. Its description in RNAcentral is "bacterial SSU rRNA". It matches the Rfam family "Bacterial small subunit ribosomal RNA", at positions 1 to 339 of the family's 1533-position model. Lineage: Bacteria; Bacillati; Bacillota; Negativicutes; Selenomonadales; Selenomonadaceae. The record is from RNAcentral.
AGUAGUUUGAUCAGUGGCUCGAGGACGACGCUGGCGGCGUGCUUAACACAUGCAAGUCGAACGGGGCUAUUAGAAGCUUGCUUUUAAGAGCCUAGUGGCAAACGGGUGAGUAACGCGUAGGCAACCUGCCUCUAAGAUGGGGACAACAGUCCGAAAGGACUGCUAAUACCGAAUGUUGUGAGUUUUCCGCAUGGGAGACUCAUUAAAGAUGGCCUCUACUUGUAAGCUAUCACUUAGAGAUGGGCCUGCGUCUGAUUAGCUAGUUGGUGGGGUAACGGCCCACCAAGGCGACGAUCAGUAGCCGGUCUGAGAGGAUGAACGGCCACAUUGGGACUGAGACACGGCCCAGACUCC